GAAUUUUGGACAAUGGGCGAAAGCCUGUGCCAGCACUGCCGCGCGCUGGAUGAUGCCCUUCGGGUUGUAAAGUGCGUUUGUCCGGAACGAAAAGCUUUGGGUUAAUACCCUGGCGUCAUGACGGUACCGUCAGAAUAAGCACCGGCUAACUCCGUGCCAGCAGCCGCGGUAAUACAUAGGGUGCAAGCGUUCAUCGGAAUUCCUGGGCGUAAAGCGUGCGCAUGCGGUUUUGUAAGACAGAGGUGAAAUCCCCGGGCUCAACGUGGGAACUGCCUUUGUGACUGCAAGGCUAGAGUACGGCAGAGGGGGGUGGAAUUCCGCGUGUAUCAGUGAAAUUCGUAGAUAUGCAGAGGAACACCGAUGGCGAAGGCAACCCCCUGCGCCUGUACUGACGCUCAUGCACGAAAGCGUGGGGAGCAAACA
Molecule: ribosomal RNA, 423 nt
Filed under: uncultured bacterium
Lineage: Bacteria
Description: partial 16S ribosomal RNA
Rfam family: Bacterial small subunit ribosomal RNA
Source: RNAcentral